Molecule: ribosomal RNA, 252 nt
Filed under: uncultured bacterium
Lineage: Bacteria
Description: partial 16S ribosomal RNA
Rfam family: Bacterial small subunit ribosomal RNA
Source: RNAcentral
ACGAAGGUCCCAAGCGUUGUUCGGAUUUACUGGGCGUAAAGAGUACGUAGGCGGCGAGGUAAGUCAGAUGUGAAAGCCCAGGGCUCAACCUUGGAACUGCAUCCGAUACUGCCUUGCUUGAGUAAUGGAGGGGCAUCUGGAAUUCACGGUGUAGCAGUGAAAUGCGUAGAUAUCGUGAGGAACACUAGUGGCGAAGGCGAGAUGCUGGACAUUUACUGACGCUGAGGUACGAAGGCCAGGGUAGCGAAAAGG